Long non-coding RNA from Drosophila nasuta, 516 nucleotides. RefSeq lists it as uncharacterized. The record is from RefSeq and is a predicted model, not a curated record. The transcript has 3 exons. NCBI's taxonomy places the organism in Eukaryota, Metazoa, Arthropoda, Insecta, Diptera, Drosophilidae.
CCGACGGACGCUUCCUGCGAUCAUGCGGAUAGUGAGUGGCACCACCGGUGGCCAGGACAUUGUACCUGCGGCUUGCAUGGAUAGCCUCGUACAAUGCCCUACCCCUCUGGCACGCACGUGGAUUUCCCCACCAUGAAUGCUUAGCAUUCCAGUCACCGCAUAAGAGGAAGCUGGCCGCUGUAUCGCCAGCUUUCAAUAGAAUGGGUGCGCAUUGGAUCGAAUCUUCAUUUAUUGGCUGCAGUGCCGAAUGACUGAUGCCAGUACGUACCAUGAGGGCAGCACCUCCUUUGCGGUGUGUGUUCGGAUUGACGGCAAAGUAUGUUACAAAUCCCGGCAAUUCGAACACACUGUCGUUGAUUGGCGCUCGUAUUUCUGCAUUCCAAAAGGCGAUCUUGAGGGUGUCAUGGCUAUCUGGAUCUGGCAGCACUCCUGAAAUUGAGCCAGAGUCCAGAUUUGGAUAAGCUGCAGCAUCAUCUAUGCGAUUAGGCAUUAUAAAUUAGUUCAUUGGUUGAUGCG